GACGAACGCUGGCGGCGUGCUUAACACAUGCAAGUCGAACGAUGAAGACAAGAAUCGAAGCUUCGGCAGAAAUUCAUUUCGGAUUAGUGGCAGACGGGUGAGUAACGCGUGAGCAACCUACCUCUUACAAAGGGAUAGCCUCGGGAAACCGGGAUUCAUACCAUAUAACUUUGUGACGAAGCAUUUCGAUGCAAUCAAAGCUACGGCGGUAAGAGAUGGGCUCGCGUCCCAUUAACCGGACGGUGAGGUAACGGCUCACCAUAGUGACGAUGGGUAACCGGCCUGAGAGAGUGAACGGUCACACUGGAACUGAGCCACGGUCGAGACUCCUACGGGAUGCAGCAGUGGGGAAUAGUGCACAAUGGAGUGAGUUCUGAUGCAUCGACGCCGCGUGAGUGAUGUAGGUAUUGAUGGCGUAAAACUCUGUUCUAUGGGAAGAAAAGGACGGUACCUUAGGAGAAAGCUGCGGCUAAAUACGUG
RNAcentral lists this ribosomal RNA (480 nucleotides) under uncultured bacterium. Its description in RNAcentral is "partial 16S ribosomal RNA". It matches the Rfam family "Bacterial small subunit ribosomal RNA", at positions 28 to 507 of the family's 1533-position model. The record is from RNAcentral.